UGGGGAAUUUUGGACAAUGGGCGAAAGCCUGAUCCAGCAAUGCCGCGUGUGUGAAGAAGGCCUUCGGGUUGUAAAGCACUUUUGUCCGGAAAGAAAUCCUUGGCUCUAAUACAGUCGGGGGAUGACGGUACCGGAAGAAUAAGCACCGGCUAACUACGUGCCAGCAGCCGCGGUAAUACGUAGGGUGCAAGCGUUAAUCGGAAUUACUGGGCGUAAAGCGUGCGCAGGCGGUUUGCUAAGACCGAUGUGAAAUCCCCGGGCUCAACCUGGGAACUGCAUUGGUGACUGGCAGGCUAGAGUAUGGCAGAGGGGGGUAGAAUUCCACGUGUAGCAGUGAAAUGCGUAGAGAUGUGGAGGAAUACCGAUGGCGAAGGCAGCCCCCUGGGCCAAAUACUGACGCUCAUGCACGAAAGCGUGGGGGAGCAAACAGGAUUAGAUACCCUGGGUAGUCCACGCCCUAAACGAUGUCAACUAGUUGUUGGGGAUUCAUUUCCUUAGUAACGUAGCUAACGCGUGAAGUUGACCGCCUGGGGGAGUACGGUCGCAAGAUUAAAACUUAAAGGAAUUGACGGGGUCAUAGCUGUUUCC
Molecule: ribosomal RNA, 588 nt
Filed under: uncultured bacterium
Lineage: Bacteria
Description: partial 16S ribosomal RNA
Rfam family: Bacterial small subunit ribosomal RNA
Source: RNAcentral